UACAGAGGGUGCGAGCGUUGUCCGGAAUCACUGGGCGUAAAGGGCGCGUAGGCGGCCUGAUAAGUAGGGGGUGAAAUCCUGCGGCUUAACCGCAGGGCUGCCUUCUAAACUGUCGGGCUCGAGCACAGUAGAGGCAGGUGGAAUUCCCGGUGUAGCGGUGGAAUGCGUAGAGAUCGGGAAGAACAUCAGUGGCGAAGGCGGCCUGCUGGGCUGUUGCUGACGCUGAGGCGCGACAGCGUGGGGAGCAAACAGG
RNAcentral lists this ribosomal RNA (253 nucleotides) under uncultured bacterium. RNAcentral describes it as "partial 16S ribosomal RNA". It matches the Rfam family "Bacterial small subunit ribosomal RNA", at positions 524 to 776 of the family's 1533-position model. The record is from RNAcentral.